GCCGAGAGGGCGAGGAAUAAAAUACCCCACAGGGGAAAUAACUCCACCCUUCUUUUACAGGGCUACGAACCUCUUGGCCGCCCAUU
Molecule: non-coding RNA, 86 nt
Filed under: Neisseria arctica
Lineage: Bacteria; Pseudomonadati; Pseudomonadota; Betaproteobacteria; Neisseriales; Neisseriaceae
Description: sRNA-Xcc1
Rfam family: sRNA-Xcc1
Source: Rfam by way of RNAcentral